UAUAACCUUUUCCAGACUGAUAGAUCUCAAAUACUUUGUAUAUGUAUAUUAUAUAUGUAUAUGACACCGAACAGGCCGCACAAUCUGAGGUAUCUGUGGAACUACUUACUGGCUGAAAUUUUGUCAGAAAGAAAUAAUAGAUAGAUAUUGACAAUAGUCCAGAUUUAAAGUGUCCCAGUUCGAUUGUCACUAAAGUGUUCAUGUGUUAGGUGUUUUCCUGGUUUAUACUGCGAAUGGCCUGUGGGCAGAAUCUCCUCCUCAUUCUUCCUCUGUUUGCCUUUAAGGAUCGGAAGAGCUUUCCUGAACGCAACACAGAAAAGAGGACUUCUUUAUUGGGAUGGCUGAGGUCCUCCAAUAUCUUUCGGGCCCUGGCUCAGCACCGCUUGCUGUACAUGUCCUGCAGUUCAGGGAGCCCAGAACGCUCAGCUAACUGCACCACCCUCUGGUGCCUGCCCUGCAUGAUGCAUUUCCUUCAUCAGGGUGACGAUCCCAGCCAACAUGUCCAUGUGUGCAGCCGAGGAAUCUGCAUAGACCCACCAGUGAACUAUUUUACAUUAGUAAUUCUGUUAUUCCUGUUUCCUGUUUUUUUACUUGAAUUAAUUUAAAUUAAAUGUGAUUUACACAUUC
Long non-coding RNA from Silurus meridionalis, 627 nucleotides. RefSeq lists it as uncharacterized. The record is from RefSeq and is a predicted model, not a curated record. NCBI's taxonomy places the organism in Eukaryota, Metazoa, Chordata, Actinopteri, Siluriformes, Siluridae. The transcript has 2 exons.